RNAcentral lists this ribosomal RNA (319 nucleotides) under uncultured bacterium. RNAcentral describes it as "bacterial SSU rRNA". It matches the Rfam family "Bacterial small subunit ribosomal RNA", at positions 28 to 334 of the family's 1533-position model. The record is from RNAcentral.
GACGAACGCUGGCGGCAUGCCUAACACAUGCAAGUCGAACGGAGAAUUCCUUCGGGAAUUCUUAGUGGCGAACGGGUGAGUAACGCGUAGGUAACCUGCCCUUUGGAUGGGGACAACAUUCCGAAAGGAGUGCUAAUACCGAAUGUGACGAUUUUACCGCAUGGUUUAAUCGUGAAAGAUGGCCUCUACAUGUAAGCUAUCGCCAAAGGAUGGGCCUGCGUCUGAUUAGCUAGUUGGUGAGGUAACGGCCCACCAAGGCAAUGAUGGGUAGCCGGCCUGAGAGGGUGAACGGCCACAAGGGGACUGAGACACGGCCCUU